ACUGCUCAGUAACACGUAGUCAACAUGCCCAGGGGACGUGGAUAACCUCGGGAAACUGAGGAUAAACCGCGAUAGGUCAUUUCUUCUGGAAUGGGUAAUGACCCAAAUCUACAUGGCCCCUGGAUUGGACUGCGGCCGAUCAGGCUGUUGGUGAGGUAAUGGCCCACCAAACCUGUAACCGGUACGGGCUCUGAGAGGAGGAGCCCGGAGAUGGGCACUGAGACAAGGGCCCAGGCCCUAUGGGGCGCAGCAGGCGCGAAACCUCUGCAAUAGGCGAAAGCUUGACAGGGUUACUCUGAGUGAUUUCCGUUAAGGAGAUCUUUUGGCACCUCUAAAAAUGGUGCAGAAUAAGGGGUGGGCAAGUCUGGUGUCAGCCGCCGCGGUAAUACCAGCACCCCGAGUGGUCGGGACGUUUAUUGGGCCUAAAGCAUCCGUAGCCGGUUCUACAAGUCUUCCGUUAAAUCCACCUGCUUAACAGAUGGGCUGCGGAAGAUACUAUAGAGCUAGGAGGCGGGAGAGGCAAGCGGUACUCGAUGGGUAGGGGUAAAAUCCGUUGAUCCAUUGAAGACCACCAGUGGCGAAGGCGGCUUGCCAGAACGCGCUCGACGGUGAGGGAUGAAAGCUGGGGGAGCAAACCGGAUUAGAUACCCGGGUAGUCCCAGCUGUAAACGAUGCAGACUCGGUGAUGAGUUGGCUUAUUGCUAACUCAGUGCCGCAGGGAAGCCGUUAAGUUUGCCGCCUGGGGAGUACGGUCGCAAGACUGAAACUUAAAGGAAUUGGCGGGGGAG
RNAcentral lists this ribosomal RNA (788 nucleotides) under uncultured archaeon. RNAcentral describes it as "bacterial SSU rRNA". It matches the Rfam family "Archaeal small subunit ribosomal RNA", at positions 85 to 876 of the family's 1478-position model. The record is from RNAcentral.